Molecule: ribosomal RNA, 405 nt
Filed under: uncultured bacterium
Lineage: Bacteria
Description: partial 16S ribosomal RNA
Rfam family: Bacterial small subunit ribosomal RNA
Source: RNAcentral
AUUGAACGCUAGCGGGAUGCUUUACACAUGCAAGUCGAACGAGUGGCGGACGGGUGAGUAAUAUAUCGGAACGUGCCCAGUAGCGGGGGAUAACUACUCGAAACAGUGGCUAAUACCGCAUACUAUUGGAGCGGCCGAUAUCGGAUUAGCUAGUUGGUGGGGUAAAGGCUCACCAAGGCAACGAUCCCUAGCUGGUCUGAGAGGACGACCAGCCACACUGGGACUGAGACACGGCCCAGACUCCUACGGGAGGCAGCAGUGGGGAAUAUUGGACAAUGGGGGCAAGCCUGAUCCAGCCAUCCCGCGUGUAUGAGAAGGCCUUCGGGUUGUAAAGUACUUUUGGCGGAGAAGCGUUAUCUGCAGAAUAAGCACCGGCUAACUACGUGCCAGCAGCCGCGGUAAUUC